GGGGCACUGAGACACCAGGGACACUGGCUGGGAGACAUGGGGACACUGUGUCCCCAUGUGUCUGUCAUAAUGUCUCCCAAUGUCCCUUAGUGUCUCAGUGUAUGUCUCCUUGCAGCCUUUCCCCCAUCCCUUACUUCCUUGAGCUGUAGGCUGUCUCUGCAGGGUGGGAGUUGCUGUCUGGACUCUCUGUAGCUGCACCCCUGCAGAUCAGUGAGUAUAGAUAGGCAGGGAGGGAUAUGCUGGAACUUCCUAUCCCUGCCUGUCUCCACACACAGUGACCC
Molecule: non-coding RNA, 281 nt
Organism: Pelobates cultripes (western spadefoot toad)
Lineage: Eukaryota; Metazoa; Chordata; Amphibia; Anura; Pelobatidae
Source: the annotation of a GenBank genome assembly